CGUCUCAGCUCAGAUUGCAGGCUGCAACUCGCCUGCAUGAAGUCGGAAUUGCUAGUAAUCGCAGAUCAGCAUGCUGCGGUGAAUACGUUCCCGGGCCUUGUACACACCGCCCGUCACACCAUGGGAGUCGGUAACACCCGAAGUCGGUAGCCUAACCGUAAGGAGGGCGCCGCCGAAGGUGGGAUUGAUGACUGGGGUGAAGUCGUAACAAGGUAAC
Molecule: ribosomal RNA, 217 nt
Filed under: uncultured bacterium
Lineage: Bacteria
Description: partial 16S ribosomal RNA
Rfam family: Bacterial small subunit ribosomal RNA
Source: RNAcentral